UGGGGAAUAUUGGACAAUGGGGGCAACCCUGAUCCAGCAAUGCCGCGUGUGUGAAGAAGGCCUGCGGGUUGUAAAGCACUUUUGGCAGGGAUGAAAAGCACUGGAUUAAUAACCCAGUGUGUUGACCUAACCUGCAGAAGAAGCACCGGCUAACUCUGUGCCAGCAGCCGCGGUAAUACAGGGGGUGCGAGCGUUGUUCGGAAUCACUGGGCUUAAAGAGCAUGUAGGUGGGGUGUCAGGCGUCGGGUGAAAUCCCUCGGCUCAACCGAGGAACUGCCUGGCGAACCGGCAUUCUUGAGGCAGGUAGAGGUGGCUGGAACGACGGGUGGAGCGGUGAAAUGCGUAGAUAUCCGGAGGAACACCAGUGGCGAAGGCGGCCUGCUGGGCCCAAACUGACGCUGAGGCACGAAAGCGUGGGUAGCAAACAGGAUUAGAUACCCGUGUAGUCCCUGAGCGGGCUGGCAAGGCGCAU
Molecule: ribosomal RNA, 472 nt
Filed under: uncultured bacterium
Lineage: Bacteria
Description: bacterial SSU rRNA
Rfam family: Bacterial small subunit ribosomal RNA
Source: RNAcentral